GUCUAUGGCCAUACCACACUGAAUGAGCCCAAUCUCAUCUGCUCUCAGAAGCUGAGCAGAGUUACGUCUAGCUAGUACUUGGAUAGGAGAUCUAUAUUUAGUUUAUUAGAAAUUUGAACAUAUACA
Molecule: ribosomal RNA, 126 nt
Organism: Propithecus coquereli (Coquerel's sifaka)
Lineage: Eukaryota; Metazoa; Chordata; Mammalia; Primates; Indriidae
Source: Ensembl